UACGUAGGCAGCAAGCGUUGUUCGGAAUUACUGGGCGUAAAGAGUGUGUAGGCGGUGCUCUAAGUUCGGUGUGAAAUCUCCCGGCUUAACUGGGAGGGUGCGCCGGAAACUGGAAUGCUUGAGCGCGGGAGAGGAAAGCGGAAUUCCUGGUGUAGCGGUGAAAUGCGUAGAUAUCAGGAGGAACACCUGUGGUGUAGACGGCUUUCUGGACCGUAGCUGACGCUGAGACACGAAAGCGUGGGUAGCAAACAGG
RNAcentral lists this ribosomal RNA (253 nucleotides) under uncultured bacterium. RNAcentral's name for it is "partial 16S ribosomal RNA". It matches the Rfam family "Bacterial small subunit ribosomal RNA", at positions 524 to 776 of the family's 1533-position model. The record is from RNAcentral.